AGCUGGAACGAAUGUGAACCAAAAUCAAGGACAUGCGUCGCCGAGCGCAACCUUGACAUGGUAGGGGUCACAGGUUCGAUCCCUGUCGUGCCCACCA
This 97-nucleotide transfer RNA is filed under the name Bradyrhizobium japonicum. Its description in RNAcentral is "tRNA-Val". The record is from RNAcentral. Lineage: Bacteria; Pseudomonadati; Pseudomonadota; Alphaproteobacteria; Hyphomicrobiales; Nitrobacteraceae.